Molecule: ribosomal RNA, 559 nt
Filed under: uncultured Mortierella
Lineage: Eukaryota; Fungi; Mortierellomycota; Mortierellomycetes; Mortierellales; Mortierellaceae
Description: eukaryotic LSU rRNA
Rfam family: 5.8S ribosomal RNA (bases 113-266)
Source: RNAcentral
AUCCGCCUUGUGUGCAAUGUCAGUCGAUCUUCUUCAUGGAGAUCGGCCAGACAUCAACCUUAUCUUUUAACUCUUUGUCUGAAAAAUAUUAUGAAUAAACAAUUCAAAAUAUAACUUUCAACAACGGAUCUCUUGGCUCUCGCAUCGAUGAAGAACGCAGCGAAAUGCGAUACGUAAUGUGAAUUGCAGAAUUCAGUGAAUCAUCGAAUCUUUGAACGCAUAUUGCGCUCUUUGGUAUUCCGAAGAGCAUGCUUGUUUAAGUAUCAGUAAACACCUCAACCUCUCUUUUUUGAUAAAAAAAAGGGAGGGUGGACUUGAGCUAUCCCAACGACCUUCACCGGUAGGCGGGCGGCUUGAAAUGCAGGUGCAGCUGGACUUUUAUCUGAGCUAAAAGCAUAUCUAUUUAGUCCUCGUCAAACAGGAUUAUUACUUUUGCUGCAGCUAACAUAAAGGAUAAUUGUCCUCUUUGCUGACUGAUGCAGGAUUUUACGACACUUUAUGUGUUGUUCAACUCGAUCUCAAAUCAAGUAAGACUACCCGCUGAACUUAAGCAUAUCAA